GAUGAAGAACGCAGCGAAAUGCGAUAAGUAAUGUGAAUUGCAGAAUUCAGUGAAUCAUCGAAUCUUUGAACGCACAUUGCGCCCCCUGGUAUUCCGGGGGGCAUGCCUGUUCGAGCGUCAUUUCACCACUCAAGCCUCGCUUGGUAUUGGGCAACGCGGUCCGCCGCGUGCCUCAAAUCGACCGGCUGGGUCUUCUGUCCCCUAAGCGUUGUGGAAACUUUCGCUAAAGGGUGUUCGGGAGGCUACGCCGGAAAACAACCCCAUUUCUAAGGUUGACCUCGGAUCAGGUAGGGAUACCCGCUGAACUUAAGCAUAUCAAUAAGCGGAGGA
RNAcentral lists this unclassified non-coding RNA (330 nucleotides) under soil metagenome. RNAcentral describes it as "partial contains 5.8S ribosomal RNA, internal transcribed spacer 2, and large subunit ribosomal RNA". The stretch from base 1 to 120 matches the Rfam family "5.8S ribosomal RNA", at positions 35 to 154 of the family's 154-position model. The record is from RNAcentral.